RNAcentral lists this long non-coding RNA (1439 nucleotides) under Glycine max (soybean). RNAcentral's name for it is "long non-coding RNA (GMAX_LNC001357)". Lineage: Eukaryota; Viridiplantae; Streptophyta; Magnoliopsida; Fabales; Fabaceae. The record is from RNAcentral.
AAUAAUCUGCUGGAAAUAAUAUCUACCAAUAUAAAUAAAGCAUCCAGCCACUGUAAUCUGCAAUGCUGAUAAUAAUGCCAUGAAGUAGCACUGCCUAAACAUCUACAAAGUACUCUCGUGUACUUUUUAUGUGUGUAUUCCUAUCACGAAGUUAAUAAACUAUUUUAUCAAAUGAAUAUCGCAAUACCAAAAUCUCCAUCUCUAAACUGGUGAAACUUGCUCACAUAGCAUAUUUCGAGAAUCAACUUACAUCAACACAUAAUUUGUACGCUUAUUAUCCAAAUGUGAUUAAGUGUUUAAAGAAUUGAACCAAGUCAUAUGAAGUGAAAAAUUCUUAAUCUUUUAAAAAUUAUAUGGCCCAAUCCAAAUGACAGUAAAUUAUAACACAAGUACCAUACCCGGGGAAAAAAAUCCUAUUACAAGUUAGCUUUCCAUGACAAAUAGAUUUAGAAAUAAUAAAAUAUCUAACAUAUGAGAAGAAUAAUUAACUUCUUUAGACAGAUCUCUAAGUAAAGGAAAGUAAAAAAUUGAUGUCAUAUAUCAGGAAUGAUUUUUUGGCAUACCGCAUACAUAUGUAAUAACGCAUAAAUAAUUAAGUUUUAUGGAAUUUGGGUUUUAUCAUAUAUUGAUUAUUCCAUUGCUAAGUAUUUAAGCUUUAAAAUACAUUAUUUUCUUAAAUUCCUUGUCUUGCACAAGUUUUUUGCACGAGAACUAAAACCACAUGACUAGUUAAAAUAAAAGCUUCACGUUCAUUUGCAGAAAACUAUCAGGUAAAAUAUUUCCGGGUUGGUCAAGGUAGGGAAUGGAUAAAAUGAUUUUGGCCUUCAGUUGUUGUCACUAUAAUCAGGUAUACUAUAUACUUAGGAAGCAUUUGGUUUAUGAAUAUGUUUCCUAUUUUCAUUUUCUACUUUCACAAAAGUUUACAAAAUGUCACAUUGUUUUCACUUUAUUUCCUGUUAAAAUAGAAUAAGGUACAAAAGAAAAGUUGGUAUGGAAAAACAUAAUAACAAGUUAACAACUAUUAGAAUUAGAGAACUUACUUGGCCAUGGCUAUUAGGAUGCACAGUGAAACACAUCUAGAAAAUGAUAUAGUAAAUGAAUAUACUAUAUCCAUCUAUUUGAGCACAAGACAAAAGGGUGGUUGGAAUGUUAAGGCUUGGUGUCUGGUGAAUGUGAGUUUGGCAACCUUGGUACAACAGCCAGGAGGGAGUUCACUUCACGUGUAAACGUACUAGGAAACUGGGGCUUGUCAUAUAAUGAGAAAACAUAUCCUAAUAUUGGUGCAUUGAGGCAAAACAUGACACUUCAGAUUACAGUUAUAGUCCGGUUGCAUCUGCAAUGCUAACGGUGAUGCUGCAUUGUAGCAAUUCCAAAACAUCCUAAGGUAUAUGUUCAUGUCAGAUAAAAAAAUCAUCAAUUUUCAAUAGAAUAUCUUCUUC